This 526-nucleotide ribosomal RNA is filed under the name uncultured bacterium. Its description in RNAcentral is "partial 16S ribosomal RNA". It matches the Rfam family "Bacterial small subunit ribosomal RNA", at positions 355 to 893 of the family's 1533-position model. The record is from RNAcentral.
UGGGGAAUAUUGCACAAUGGGCGAAAGCCUGAUGCGGCAACGCCGCGUGAGGGACGACGGCCUUCGGGUUGUAAACCUCUUUUAGCAAGGAAGAAGCGAAAGUGACGGUACUUGCAGAAAAAGCGCCGGCUAACUACGUGCCAGCAGCCGCGGUAAUACGUAGGGCGCAAGCGUUAUCCGGAAUUAUUGGGCGUAAAGAGCUCGUAGGCGGUUUGUCGCGUCUGCUGUGAAAACCCGAGGCUCAACCUCGGGCCUGCAGUGGGUACGGGCAGACUAGAGUGCGGUAGGGGAGAUUGGAACUCCUGGUGUAGCGGUGGAAUGCGCAGAUAUCAGGAAGAACACCGAUGGCGAAGGCAGAUCUCUGGGCCGUAACUGACGCUGAGGAGCGAAAGGGUGGGGAGCAAACAGGCUUAGAUACCCUGGUAGUCCACCCGUAAACGUUGGGAACUAGUUGUGGGUCCAUUCCACGGAUUCCGUGACGCAGCUAACGCAUUAAGUUCCCCGCCUGGGGAGUACGGCCGCAAGG